Long non-coding RNA from Mercenaria mercenaria, 1251 nucleotides. RefSeq lists it as uncharacterized. The transcript is spliced from 2 exons. The record is from RefSeq and is a predicted model, not a curated record. Lineage: Eukaryota; Metazoa; Mollusca; Bivalvia; Venerida; Veneridae.
AUCACGGCUCAUUUAAAAUGGAUAAACCGAAUUGUUCACUUCAUAACAAUACUUUACAAAGGUAGAAGAAACUAUUUCAUCGCUUCAAUAAACAGCAGACAUAACACUUUAUCUUCAUCAGUGAACUUCACACAGAAAUGGAUAGAAAUCAGAUGUAUAACAUAAACACAGGGGCGGAGUUAGAUGUAUCGGCACAGCGUCAUAGUUUGUCAACUGUAGAUGAUACUGAUUUAAGUUUACAACAAAAAAUGCAAGGCUCUUGGGAAAUUCAAAGACGAAUGUGGUGGCAAAAUAAUUGAACAGUUUGUUGGCCUAAGGCCUAAAAUAUAUAGUCUCAAAUAUGGAGACAAACAAGAAUCUCGAAAAGCAUAGGGCAUUAAGAAAUGUGUCAUAGAAAAACAAAUGAAACAUUCCAUGUAGAAUGUUAGAAAAAACAGUAUGCAUUACGGCAUCAAAUGAAUUUGAUAAGAAGUUAUGAUCAUCAGCUUAAUAGCAUUACUGUCAACAAAACAAGUCUCUCGCCAUUUGAUGACAAGCGCUAUUUUACCGGCAUAUGGCCAUUGUCAGAUAUUUAAGUAAUGAACCAUUUCAUACCAGUUGUAAUAAAAACCAUUAAUAUUUUUAACAAUGACUGACAAAGUGACAUGUGUUGACAUUGUUGUAAAUUCUUAUUCCAUGAUUUGUGUAUUUAAUUAUUUUGAGUGCAUCCUCCCCUCCCUCCCUCCCUCCAUGGGGUUGAGUGGGGAUGUGGUGGGGUUAGGGUGAGGAAGGUUGUUCUAUAUUACUUCAAAUUAUUUAAGAAACUAAGGUAGUACAUUUCAGUUAAUGAAUUGAUUGUUACAUAUCAUUUAUAGACUAUAGUAGAUUAUAAUAUAUCCUUUCUAAUUCAUUUAAAUGAAGUGGUUUUUGCAUAAUUAAAGUAUUUACAAUUAAGAUUAUUAAUAAAAUGAAUACUGUUCUAGCUUAUUAUUACUAUUAUUUGUUAUUAAAAAUGAAAACAAUUGUAGCUUAUUAUUAUCAUUAUUUGUAUAAACUAAUAGUUAUUAAAAUAAAGGUAUGAAAACCAUAUUCAUGUGUUAAUGAUAAAAAUAUGAACUUGAUUUUGAAAAUAAUUGUCAUCAGAAAUGUAACUUCUGAUAGGUAUUACUUAAGAUAUAUAGACAGAGUUGUCUUGUAUCUAUCCAUUAAACCAAAUCAGGUUAAAGUUUGAAAUGUAUAUGUUUAUGUAUAAAUAAAGUCCUAAGCGUUGAA